This 437-nucleotide ribosomal RNA is filed under the name uncultured bacterium. RNAcentral describes it as "partial 16S ribosomal RNA". It matches the Rfam family "Bacterial small subunit ribosomal RNA", at positions 28 to 507 of the family's 1533-position model. The record is from RNAcentral.
GAUGAACGCUGGCGGCAUGCUUUACACAUGCAAGUCGGACGGGAAGUGGUGUUUCCAGUGGCGGGCGGGUGAGUAACGCGUAAGAACCUGCCCUUGGGAGGGGAACAACAGCUGGAAACGGCUGCUAAUACCCCGUAGGCUGAGGAGCGAAAGGAGGAAUCCGCCCAAGGAGGGGCUCGCGUCUGAUUAGCUAGUUGGUGAGGUAAUAGCUUACCAAGGCCGUGAUCAGUAGCUGGUCCGAGAGGAUGAUCAGCCACACUGGGACUGAGACAAGGCCCAGACUCCUACGGGAGGCAGCAGUGGGGAAUUUUCCGCAAUAGGCGAAAGCCUGACGGAGCAAUGCCGCGUGGAGGUAAAAGGCCUACGGGUCAUGAACUUCUUUUCCUGGAGAAGAAACAAUGACGGUAUCUGGGGAAUAAGCAUCGGCUAACUCUGUG